Molecule: ribosomal RNA, 484 nt
Filed under: uncultured bacterium
Lineage: Bacteria
Description: bacterial SSU rRNA
Rfam family: Bacterial small subunit ribosomal RNA
Source: RNAcentral
CAGUAGUCACGAGUUUGAUCCUGGCUCAGGAUGAACGCUAGCGGCAUGCCUUACACAUGCAAGUUGAACGUAGAGGGGGCAACCCUUGAGAGUGGCGAACGGGUGAGUAAUAUAUCGGAACGUGCCCAGUCGUGGGGGAAUAACGUAGCGAAAGUUACGCUAAUACCGCAUACGAUCUAAGGAUGAAAGCGGGGGAUCGCAAGACCUCGCGCGAUUGGAGCGGCCGAUAUCAGAUUAGGUAGUUGGUGAGGUAAAGGCUCACCAAGCCAACGAUCUGUAGCUGGUCUGAGAGGACGACCAGCCACACUGGGACUGAGACACGGCCCAGACUCCUACGGGAGGCAGCAGUGGGGGAAUAUUGGACAAUGGGCGAAAGCCUGAUCCAGCAAUGCCGCGUGAGUGAUGAAGGCCUUCGGGUUGUAAAGCUCUUUUACUCGGGACGAUAAUGACGGUACCGAGAGAAUAAGCCCCGGCUAACUCCGUG